GAUGAACGCUGGCGGCGUGCUUAACACAUGCAAGUCGAACGGGAUCCAAGGGGUGCUUGCACUUUUUGGUGAGAGUGGCGCACGGGUGAGUAACACGUGAGUAACCUGUCCUUUUCUUUGGGAUAAGCAUUCGAAAGGGUGUUUAAUACCUUAUGUUCUGUCUGCCUCGCAUGGGGUGGGUGGGAAAGGCUUUGGCCGGAUUUGGGUGGGCUCGCGGUCUAUCAGCUUGUUGGUGGGGUGAUGGCUUACCAAGGCUUUGACGGGUAGCCGGCCUGAGAGGGUGGUCGGUCACAUUGGGACUGAGAUACGGCCCAGACUCCUGCGGGAGGCAGCAGUGGGGGAUAUUGCACAAUGGGCGAAAGCCUGAUGCAGCGACGCCGCGUGGGGGAUGAAGGCCUUCGGGUUGUAAACUUCUGUUGCUCUGAACAAGGCAUGCCAGUGGGUGUGUUGAGUGUAGGGGUUGAUUAGCGCCGGCUAACUACGUG
Molecule: ribosomal RNA, 485 nt
Filed under: uncultured bacterium
Lineage: Bacteria
Description: partial 16S ribosomal RNA
Rfam family: Bacterial small subunit ribosomal RNA
Source: RNAcentral